UACGGAGGGUGCAAGCGUUGUCCGGAUUUAUUGGGUUUAAAGGGUGCGUAGGCGGCUAUUUAAGUCAGUGGUGAAAUCCUGCAGCUUAACUGUAGAAUUGCCAUUGAUACUGGAUAGCUUGAGUACAGACGAGGUAGGCGGAAUUUAUGGUGUAGCGGUGAAAUGCAUAGAUACCAUAAAGAACACCUAUUGCGAAGGCAGCUUACUAGGCUGUAACUGACGCUGAGGCACGAAAGUGUGGGGAGCAAACAGG
RNAcentral lists this ribosomal RNA (253 nucleotides) under uncultured bacterium. RNAcentral describes it as "partial 16S ribosomal RNA". It matches the Rfam family "Bacterial small subunit ribosomal RNA", at positions 524 to 776 of the family's 1533-position model. The record is from RNAcentral.